This 564-nucleotide long non-coding RNA is filed under the name Zea mays. Its description in RNAcentral is "long non-coding RNA (ZMAY_LNC005788)". Lineage: Eukaryota; Viridiplantae; Streptophyta; Magnoliopsida; Poales; Poaceae. The record is from RNAcentral.
UCCCAGCGUGUGGAAAGACACCGAACCUAGAGCGCAUGUCUUGAGUGAAGGUAAGGUGGAACGGAGGGAAAACGGGAGGAGGCGCGCGGCGACGGGCGGCAGGGCUGUUCGGCCUUGCGUAUGGGCUGAAAACGAGGAGUUCGCCAUGGCGCGCGGGCCGAAAAAACGGUUCGGCCACGGCCGCGAAAACGGGCUAAGUCCAAGCGCGUGGAAAGACACCGAGGCUGCUACGUAGGUCUCGGUUGAAGGGCACGGUGGAACGGAGGGAAAACGGGAGGAGACGCAAGGCAACGGGCGGCAGGGCUGUUCGGCCUUGCGUUUCGGGUGAAAACGAGGGGUUCGCCAUGGCGAACGGGCCAAAAACGGAUUUUCGGCCACGGCCGCGAAAACGGGCACGUGGAAGGGCACGGGACCCUCCCGUGGUCCCCCGCGUGAGACGUGGAAGUUCGGGUGCACCCGUGAGGGAAAACGGGUCACGCUAGCGAAACCCCUGAUUCUGAGCAAAAACGCUGUGUCCAGCCAUCUUAGAUGGGUUUCGUGGGGUACUGGGAAAAUGCCCUGGUU